AACAAGUACAGCCGUGGAUAUCCGUACCCAACGUUUGACCAUUCGUCUUAUUUAAAAAAUUUAUGAAAAAUUUAAAAAUAUUUAGUCACAUAUAAAGUAUUAUUCAUGUUUUAUCAUCUAAUAACAAUAAAAAUACUAAUCAUAAAAAAAUUUCAAAUAAAACGAACGGUCAAACGUUAAACAUAAAUAGUGCAAAACUGCACUUAUU
This 208-nucleotide microRNA precursor is filed under the name Oryza sativa Japonica Group (Japanese rice). Its description in RNAcentral is "MIR812 microRNA precursor family". It matches the Rfam family "MIR812 microRNA precursor family". Lineage: Eukaryota; Viridiplantae; Streptophyta; Magnoliopsida; Poales; Poaceae. The record is from Rfam by way of RNAcentral.